UACGUUGGUCCCGAACGUUGCGCGAAUUUACUGGGCGUAAAGGGUCCGUAGGCGGUUUAGCAAGUGGUUGGUGAAAUUUCACGGCUCAACCGUGAAACUGCCUUCCAAACUGCUAAACUUGAGGCAGGGAGAGGUCGGCGGAAUUCCAGGUGUAGCGGUGAAAUGCGUAGAUAUCGGGAGGAACACCAGUGGCGAAGGCGGCCGACUGGAACUGUCCUGACGCUGAGGGAAGAAAGCUAGGGGAGCAAACCGG
Molecule: ribosomal RNA, 253 nt
Filed under: uncultured bacterium
Lineage: Bacteria
Description: partial 16S ribosomal RNA
Rfam family: Bacterial small subunit ribosomal RNA
Source: RNAcentral